UUUUGCAGCCAGUUAAGAAUCUUCCACAAUGGACGAAAGUCUGAUGGAGCAACGCCGCGUGAGUGAUGAAGGUUUUCGGAUCGUAAAACUCUGUUGUUAAAGAAGAACAAGUGUUAGAGUAACUGUUAACACUUUGACGGUAUUUAACCAGAAAGCCACGGCUAACUACGUGCCAGCAGCCGCGGUAAUACGUAGGUGGCAAGCGUUGUCCGGAUUUAUUGGGCGUAAAGCGAGCGCAGGCGGUUUUGUAAGUCUGCUGUGAAAGCCCUCAGCUCAACUGAGGAAGUGCAGUGGAAACUACAAAACUUGAGUACAGAAGAGGAAAGUGGAACUCCAUGUGUAGCGGUGAAAUGCGUAGAUAUAUGGAAGAACACCAGUGGCGAAGGCGGCUUUCUGGUCUGUUACUGACGCUGAGGCUCGAAAGCAUGGGUAGCGAACAGGAUUAGAUACCCUGGUAGUCCAUGCCGUAAACGAUGAAUACUAGGUGUUGGAGGGUUUCCGCCCUUCAGUGCCGCAGCUAACGCAUUAAGUAUUCCGCCUGGGGAGUACGACCGCAAGGUUGAAACUCAAAGGAAUUGACGGGGGCCCGCACAAGUGGUGGAGCAUGUGGUUUAAUUCGAUGCUACGCGAAGAACCUUACCAGCUCUUGACAUCUUCUGCCAACCCAAGAGAUUGGGCGUUCCCUUUCGGGGGACCAAGGGA
This 702-nucleotide ribosomal RNA is filed under the name Apilactobacillus kunkeei. RNAcentral describes it as "bacterial SSU rRNA". It matches the Rfam family "Bacterial small subunit ribosomal RNA", at positions 344 to 1034 of the family's 1533-position model. The record is from RNAcentral. Lineage: Bacteria; Bacillati; Bacillota; Bacilli; Lactobacillales; Lactobacillaceae.